UACGAAGGGGGCUAGCGUUGCUCGGAAUUACUGGGCGUAAAGCGCACGUAGGCGGCUUCUUAAGUCGGUGGUGAAAUCCUGGAGCUCAACUCCAGAACUGCCUUCGAUACUGGGAAGCUCGAGUCCGGGAGAGGUGAGUGGAACUGCGAGUGUAGAGGUGAAAUUCGCAGAUAUCAGGAGGAACACCGGUGGCGAAGGCGGGUCUCUGGGCCGUAACUGACGCUGAGGAGCGAAAGCGUGGGGAGCGAACAGG
RNAcentral lists this ribosomal RNA (253 nucleotides) under uncultured bacterium. RNAcentral's name for it is "partial 16S ribosomal RNA". It matches the Rfam family "Bacterial small subunit ribosomal RNA", at positions 524 to 776 of the family's 1533-position model. The record is from RNAcentral.